This 431-nucleotide ribosomal RNA is filed under the name uncultured bacterium. Its description in RNAcentral is "partial 16S ribosomal RNA". It matches the Rfam family "Bacterial small subunit ribosomal RNA", at positions 29 to 507 of the family's 1533-position model. The record is from RNAcentral.
AACGAACGCUGGCGGCAGGCUUAACGCAUGCAAGUCGAGCGCCCCGCAAGGGGAGCGGCAGACGGGUGAGUAACGCGUGGGAACGUACCUUUUGGUUCGGAACAACUCCGGGAAACUGGAGCUAAUACCGGAUAAGCCCUAACGGGGAAAGAUUUAUCGCCGAAAGAUCGGCCCGCGUCUGAUUAGCUAGUUGGUGAGGUAACGGCUCACCAAGGCGACGAUCAGUAGCUGGUCUGAGAGGAUGAUCAGCCACACUGGGACUGAGACACGGCCCAGACUCCUACGGGAGGCAGCAGUGGGGAAUAUUGGACAAUGGGCGCAAGCCUGAUCCAGCCAUGCCGCGUGAGUGACGAAGGCCUUAGGGUUGUAAAGCUCUUUUGUCCGGGAAGAUAAUGACUGUACCGGAAGAAUAAGCCCCGGCUAACUUCGUG